AGAUUGAACGCUGGCGGCGGGCCUAACACAUGCAAGUCGAGCGGCAGCACGGGUACUUGUACCUGGUGGCGAGCGGCGGACGGGUGAGUAAUGCCUAGGAAUCUGCCUGAUAGUGGGGGAUAACGCUCGGAAACGGACGCUAAUACCGCAUACCGUCCUACGGGAGAAAGCAGGGGACCCUUCGGGCCUUGCGCUAUCAGAUGAGCCUAGGUC
Molecule: ribosomal RNA, 213 nt
Filed under: uncultured soil bacterium
Lineage: Bacteria
Description: partial 16S ribosomal RNA
Rfam family: Bacterial small subunit ribosomal RNA
Source: RNAcentral